GUGUGCAAGAGUGUUUCUGCAUCUCACUCUGGGCUCUUCUUCCUCCACUGCUCCUUUUUUUGGGGUUCCCCACGGUUUUCGGUGGAGAUGGGAAGCAGAGGCCGCAGCAGUGCAGCCCCAGCUGUCACAGAGAGCAGAAUCUCCACAGAGCGCCCGAAGGUUCCAGAAGGUUCCAGAGGGGCAGUUGGGCUGGGAUGGCGGCAAGGCUGCAGCGCUGGGUGCCAAACCAUCGUUUGUUGCUUAGUUUUUAAUUAUUUUUAUAUUUAUGAGGAAAAAUUGCCCUCACACAGUAGCCUCAGUGCUACAGUCAGGAUUCACCUCCACACCGAGCUGCGGGCACAAACCCGCCGGGAACACCACCACCAGGAUGCAAAUCUGAAUAAACUCUGCAAAACACCUGGGGACUCUGAAGCAACCGGUCCAUUCUGGGCACUUCUAUUUCUUCUGUAUAACCAAGCUGUGCAGCAACUUGCAGAACAGAGACCUGGUUUCACACGGACUCUUGGUGAGGGAGAUGAGCCUGCAGACACCAACAAACAGCUGAACACGAUCAAAAGCUACAGGGGACAUGACCGCUGCAGGUUUCCUUUCUGAAUCAAAUACCAGACAUUUGAACCAUUUGUUGUGCAGAAAAGAGAAACAGCUUUUAUUCUUAAUGCUGGGUUCUGAACCACCUGGGUGCUGUCAGAAGGAGCCACAUGCACUGGAAAACACUUUUAAUAAAACUCCUAUAAGCCUGUCUUGAACUCUGGAU
RNAcentral lists this long non-coding RNA (754 nucleotides) under Numida meleagris (helmeted guineafowl). RNAcentral's name for it is "lncRNA (ENSNMEG00000006870.1)". Lineage: Eukaryota; Metazoa; Chordata; Aves; Galliformes; Numididae. The record is from RNAcentral.